This 330-nucleotide ribosomal RNA is filed under the name uncultured bacterium. RNAcentral describes it as "bacterial SSU rRNA". It matches the Rfam family "Bacterial small subunit ribosomal RNA", at positions 32 to 342 of the family's 1533-position model. The record is from RNAcentral.
AAUCAACGCUGGCGGCGUGCCUAACACAUGCAAGUCGAACGCGAAAGCCCCUUCGGGGGUAAGUAGAGUGGCGUCCGGGUGAGUAACACGUGGGUAAUCUGCCUUCGGGUGGGGAAUAACUCAGGGAAACUUGAGCUAAUACCGCAUAAUGCAGCGGCACCUAAUGGUGAUUAGUUGUUAAAGCGGGGGAGUCGCAAGACCUCGCGCCUGAAGAGGAGCCUGCGGCAGAUUAGCAGUUGGUAAGGUAAUGGCUUACCAAGGCUUCGAUCUGUAGCUGGUCUGAGAGGACGGCCAGCCACACUGGCACUGACACACGGGCCAGACUCCUAC